CCAGACUCCUACGGGAGGCAGCAGUGGGGGAUAUUGCACAAUGGGGGAAACCCUGAUGCAGCGACGCCGCGUGGGUGAAGAAGCGCCUCGGCGCGUAAAGCCCUGUCAGCAGGGAAGAAAAUGACGGUAGCUAAGGAGCAAGCCACGGCUAACUACGUGCCAGCAGCCGCGGUAAUACGUAGGUGGCAAGCGUUGUCCGGAAUUACUGGGUGUAAAGGGAGCGCAGGCGGGAAGCCAAGUCAGCUGUGAAAACUACGGGCUUAACUUGUAGACUGCAGUUGAAACUGGUUUUCUUGAGUGAAGUAGAGGUUGGCGGAAUUCCGAGUGUAGCGGUGAAAUGCGUAGAUAUUCGGAGGAACACCGGUGGCGAAGGCGGCCAACUGGGCUUUAACUGACGCUGAGGCUCGAAAGCGUGGGUAGCAAACAGGAUUAGAUACCCCAGUA
Molecule: ribosomal RNA, 444 nt
Filed under: uncultured bacterium
Lineage: Bacteria
Description: bacterial SSU rRNA
Rfam family: Bacterial small subunit ribosomal RNA
Source: RNAcentral